UACGUAGGCAGCGAGCGUUGUUCGGAGUUACUGGGCGUAAAGGGUGUGUAGGCGGUUGUUUAAGUUUGGUGUGAAAUCUCCCGGCUCAACUGGGAGGGUGCGCCGAAUACUGAAUGACUAGAGUGUGGGAGAGGUGAGUGGAAUUCCUGGUGUAGCGGUGAAAUGCGUAGAGAUGCGGAGGAACACCAGUGGCGAAAGCGACUUUCUGGUCCUUAACUGACGCUGAGGCGCGAAAGCAUGGGGAGCGAACGGGG
This 254-nucleotide ribosomal RNA is filed under the name uncultured bacterium. RNAcentral describes it as "partial 16S ribosomal RNA". It matches the Rfam family "Bacterial small subunit ribosomal RNA", at positions 524 to 777 of the family's 1533-position model. The record is from RNAcentral.